CUGGGUCGGGGGCUGCAGGUGGGAGUGAGCAAAUGUGCUGUCUCGCCACCUCGGGACAGGUGGUAGGGCCUCUGACACAGAGUGGUCCUUCCUGCUGUUCACAGCUCAGCUCACCGUGGGCUGACCAUAGGUAGAUUCUCGUUGAAAUCCUAACGCCCCAGGCAAUGAUGUUAGGAGGCGGGGCUUCUGGGAGAUGGCAAGUUCGUGAGGCUGCAGCUCUGCUGGGGGAUCAGUGUCCUUCUACAAGCGGCUCCAGGGAGGUCCCUUGCCCCUUCCACCAUGUGAGGACCCGAGAUGGUGCCGUCUAUGAACCGGGAAGUGAGUCCUCUCCGGACGUGGAACAAGUUGGUGCCUUGAUUUUGAACUUGCAGCCUCCAGGUAUGAAUGUGAGCUCUGGGCUCACUGCCUGUGGGGAGCCCUGCCUCACAAGGAGGGGUCCCUCUGCAUCUGCCAUGCAUGGCUGUUUCAAUCAAAGCUGCUGUCUAACACCACCGGCUCGACCUUGAGUUCCUCCCUGAGCAAAGCCAAGCGACCUCCUGGACUGAGCCAGUUUUCGUGCCUGCCUGCCCUGGCUCAUUGGCCAGGGACCCCACCCCGCCAUGUCCAGGCCUUGGUGAUACAGGACAGAGGUGCCCGUGCAGGUUGUGCCUGUGGCUGGGUCCCCAGGGAGAAGGUGGCAACCCCAGGCCAGCAGCCUCCUACCCUGAACUCCAGGCAACAUCGUCGGCCCCCUGGCACUGCACCUGCACUGUGGGCAGAGAAGGAGGGAAGGCUGGGAGAGGAGGAGGAGGUCGAAUGUCGCUGGAGGUCGGCGUCCUUCUGCAGCCGUGGCUUCAUGGGGUUUAAGUACGAUGAUGCUGCAUUGAGACGUUGUACUGUGUGAAGUCAGGGCCUUCUGUGCAUCGGUCGAGGGUGCAAUGCACACGGCACCCCCGAGCAGCCACCCAUCCUCCCUUCCCUCCACCCUGCGAGGCCCCGUUGUCCGUCUGUCCACACUCUGCUCCAUGAGCACACGUGACUUAGCUUCGCCUUGUGAGCCGCUGCUUGGGGUGAGCAUGCUUCCUGCUGGAUGCUUCUCUAUGUAAGCACCUGCCUGAGUGUCAGCCCUCUUAAGGUGAACCGCUCCGUGUCAUUCGUACAUUCACAAGUUUGUGCCGCCAUCAUCGUGAUCGGAUUCCAAAACAUUUUCAUCACCUCCAAGAAAGCCUUGUACCUGGCAGCAGUCACUGUCUCUAUGGAUUUGCUUAUUCUGGACAUUUCAUAAAAAUAGAAUCAAACAGCAUUUGGC
This 1288-nucleotide long non-coding RNA is filed under the name Homo sapiens (human). RNAcentral's name for it is "HSALNT0402328". The record is from RNAcentral. Lineage: Eukaryota; Metazoa; Chordata; Mammalia; Primates; Hominidae.